UACCAGACUCCCACGGGAGGCAGCAGUGGGGAAUAUUGCACAAUGGGGGAAACCCUGAUGCAGCGACGCCGCGUGAGCGAUGAAGUAUUUCGGUAUGUAAAGCUCUAUCAGCAGGGAAGAAGAUGACGGUACCUGACUAAGAAGCCCCGGCUAACUACGUGCCAGCAGCCGCGGUAAUACGUAGGGGGCAAGCGUUAUCCGGAUUUACUGGGUGUAAAGGGGGCGCAGACGGCAGCGCAAGCCAGGAGUGAAAGCCCGGGGCCCAACCCCGGGACUGCUCUUGGAACUGCGCGGCUGGAGUGCAGGAGGGGCAGGCGGAAUUCCUGGUGUAGCGGUGAAAUGCGUAGAUAUCAGGAGGAACACCGGCGGCGAAGGCGGCCUGCUGGACCGUGACUGACGUUGAGGCUCGAGAGCGUGGGGAGCAAACAGGAUUAGAUACCCUUGUA
Molecule: ribosomal RNA, 446 nt
Filed under: uncultured bacterium
Lineage: Bacteria
Description: bacterial SSU rRNA
Rfam family: Bacterial small subunit ribosomal RNA
Source: RNAcentral